AUUCUGCCCAGCGUAAUUUAUUAGCGGCCGCAGUACUUUGACUGUGCUAAGGUAGCAUAAUCCNNNGGCCCUUAAUUGUAGUCUGGAAUGAAAGGACUAAUAGGGGUUAGCUGUCUCUAUACUAUUAUUUUGAAUUUAUUUAUUAAGUGAAAAUACUUAUACAAAGAAAAAAGACGAGAAGACCCUUAGAAUUUUAAUAAAAUAUUUAAUAAUUUUUUUUUGUUGGGGCGACAUUGAAACAAUUAAACUUUCAUUAACAAUCAAGACAUUUAGGUUUGAAAGAAUAAAUUACCUUAGGGAUAACAGCAUAAUUAAUUAUUUAGUUUGUGACCUCGAUGUUGGACUAGGAACUAGAAGAUUAACCGUCUAAAUAGAUUGUUCUGUUCGAACAGAAAUUCCU
Molecule: ribosomal RNA, 400 nt
Filed under: Pseudosuccinea columella
Lineage: Eukaryota; Metazoa; Mollusca; Gastropoda; Lymnaeidae
Description: partial 16S ribosomal RNA
Rfam family: Bacterial large subunit ribosomal RNA
Source: RNAcentral